RNAcentral lists this ribosomal RNA (695 nucleotides) under uncultured bacterium. RNAcentral describes it as "bacterial SSU rRNA". It matches the Rfam family "Bacterial small subunit ribosomal RNA", at positions 32 to 715 of the family's 1533-position model. The record is from RNAcentral.
AACGCUAGCUACAGGCUUAACACAUGCAAGUCGAGGGGCAGCAUGGACCCAGCUUUGCUGGGUUUGAUGGCGACCGGCGCACGGGUGAGUAACGCGUAUCCAACCUUCCCGUUACUCUUGGAUAGCCUUCCGAAAGGGAGAUUAAUACAAGAUGGUAUUCAAAUUCCGCAUGUUAUUUGAAUUAAAGAUUUAUCGGUGAUGGAUGGGGAUGCGUCUGAUUAGCUUGUUGGCGGGGUAACGGCCCACCAAGGCGACGAUCAGUAGGGGUUCUGAGAGGAAGGUCCCCCACAUUGGAACUGAGACACGGUCCAAACUCCUACGGGAGGCAGCAGUGAGGAAUAUUGGUCAAUGGGCGAGAGCCUGAACCAGCCAAGUAGCGUGCAGGAUGACGGCCCUAUGGGUUGUAAACUGCUUUUAUAAGGGAAUAAAGUGAGCCUCGUGAGGCUUUUUGCAUGUACCUUAUGAAUAAGGACCGGCUAAUUCCGUGCCAGCAGCCGCGGUAAUACGGAAGGUCCGGGCGUUAUCCGGAUUUAUUGGGUUUAAAGGGAGCGUAGGCCGGAGAUUAAGCGUGUUGUGAAAUGUAGAUGCUCAACAUCUGCACUGCAGCGCGAACUGGUUUCCUUGAGUACGCACAAAGUGGGCGGAAUUCGUGGUGUAGCGGUGAAAUGCUUAGAUAUCACGAAGAACUCCGAUUG